Molecule: transfer RNA, 65 nt
Filed under: Analophus parallelus
Lineage: Eukaryota; Metazoa; Arthropoda; Insecta; Coleoptera; Cerambycidae
Description: tRNA-Asn
Source: RNAcentral
UUAAUUGAAACCAAAAUAGAGGUAUAUCACUGUUAAUGAUAUUAUUGGGAAAACCCCCAAUUAAA